UAUCCUUUGUUGCCAGCGGUCCGGCCGGGAACUCAAAGGAGACUGCCAGUGAUAAACUGGAGGAAGGUGGGGAUGACGUCAAGUCAUCAUGGCCCUUACGACCAGGGCUACACACGUGCUACAAUGGCGCAUACAAAGAGAAGCGACCUCGCGAGAGCAAGCGGACCUCAUAAAGUGCGUCGUAGUCCGGAUUGGAGUCUGCAACUCGACUCCAUGAAGUCGGAAUCGCUAGUAAUCGUGGAUCAGAAUGCCACGGUGAAUACGUUCCCGGGCCUUGUACACACCGCCCGUCACACCAUGGGAGUGGGUUGCAAAAGAAGUAGGUAGCUUAACCUUCGGGAGGGCGCUUACCACUUUGUGAUUCAUGACUGGGGUGAAGUCGUAACAAGGUAACCGUAGGGGAACCUGCGGUUGGA
Molecule: ribosomal RNA, 416 nt
Filed under: Salmonella enterica subsp. enterica serovar Livingstone
Lineage: Bacteria; Pseudomonadati; Pseudomonadota; Gammaproteobacteria; Enterobacterales; Enterobacteriaceae
Also listed under: 1 other name
Description: partial 16S ribosomal RNA
Rfam family: Bacterial small subunit ribosomal RNA
Source: RNAcentral